This is a long non-coding RNA of Cyclopterus lumpus (lumpfish), 241 nucleotides long. RefSeq lists it as uncharacterized. The record is from RefSeq and is a predicted model, not a curated record. The transcript is spliced from 2 exons. Lineage: Eukaryota; Metazoa; Chordata; Actinopteri; Perciformes; Cyclopteridae.
AAACCUGCACAGAGAAAGAGUACAAUGACAAUCUCUACAUUUUACAAGUGACAGAUUCCUUUUAGUGAACAGACAUUCACUUUUCCAUCUCUACUGCAUAGACUAGGAGAUGUGAUAUGCAACGUAUUGCCUCUAAUUAUUGGGCAUCAGCCACCACCUGCACCGACAGACAGAACACAUCAUCAGGCCAAGGCUCCACUUCACCGUGGGAGGAACGGAUCAUUUGUCAUUUCAAGAAAAA